Molecule: small RNA, 27 nt
Filed under: Bombyx mori (domestic silkworm)
Lineage: Eukaryota; Metazoa; Arthropoda; Insecta; Lepidoptera; Bombycidae
Description: ovarian small RNA-35240
Source: RNAcentral
UGGUUUCAAGCCAGGCAUUGGUAGUUC